This 498-nucleotide ribosomal RNA is filed under the name uncultured bacterium. RNAcentral describes it as "partial 16S ribosomal RNA". It matches the Rfam family "Bacterial small subunit ribosomal RNA", at positions 29 to 507 of the family's 1533-position model. The record is from RNAcentral.
AGCGAACGCUGGCGGCGUGCCUAACACAUGCAAGUCGAACGUGAAAAGGGAAACCUGAGUAAAGUGGCGUACGGGUGAGUAACGCGUAGGUAAUCUACCCCAGAAUCUGGAAUAACCUGCCGAAGGGCGGGCUAAUACUGGAUAGAGCGAGGGAACUCGUAAGAGAGUUUUUCGGGAAAGGGAGCCCGCAAGGGCCUUUGUUCUGGGAUGAGCCUGCGUCUCAUUAGCUAGUUGGUAAGGUAACGGCUUACCAAGGCGAUGAUGAGUAGCUGGUCUGAGAGGAUGAUCAGCCACACUGGAACUGAAACACGGUCCAGACUCCUACGGGAGGCAGCAGUGGGGAAUCUUGCGCAAUGGACGAAAGUCUGACGCAGCCACGCCGCGUGAGUGAAGAAGGCCUUCGGGUUGUAAAGCUCUGUCGGAUGGGACGAACAUCUUCAUAGUGAAUAGCUAUGAGGACUGACGGUACCAUCAAAGGAAGCACCGGCUAACUCCGUG